Molecule: ribosomal RNA, 250 nt
Filed under: uncultured bacterium
Lineage: Bacteria
Description: partial 16S ribosomal RNA
Rfam family: Bacterial small subunit ribosomal RNA
Source: RNAcentral
UCGAGAAUCUUCCGCAAUGGGCGAAAGCCUGACGGAGCGACGCCGCGUGGUGGAUGAAGCGCUUAGGCGCGUAAACACCUUUUAUGGAGGAGAAAGUUUAUUGAUGUUACUCCAUGAAUAAGGGGCUCCCAACUCUGUGCCAGCAGGAGCGGUAAUACAGAGGCCCCAAGCAUUAUCCGGAUUCACUGGGCGUAAAGGGUGCGUAGGCGGUGUGAUUAGUCGGGUGUUAAAUCCUGGGGCUCAACCUCAG